AAGCUGGAUUCGCUAGUAAUCGCGCAUCAGCCACGGCGCGGUGAAUACGUUCCCGGGCCUUAUACACACCGCCCGUCACACCAUGGGAGUCGGAAAUGCCCGAAGUCGGUGACCCAACCGUUUAUGGAGGGAGCUGCCGAAGGCAGGUCUGGUGACUGGGGUGAAGUCGUAACAAGGUACC
Molecule: ribosomal RNA, 181 nt
Filed under: uncultured bacterium
Lineage: Bacteria
Description: partial 16S ribosomal RNA
Rfam family: Bacterial small subunit ribosomal RNA
Source: RNAcentral